GACGAACGCUGGCGGCGUGCUUAACACAUGCAAGUCGAACGGAAAGGCCCUGCUUUUGUGGGGUGCUCGAGUGGCGAACGGGUGAGUAACACGUGAGUAACCUGCCCUUGACUUUGGGAUAACUUCAGGAAACUGGGGCUAAUACCGGAUAGGAGCUCCUGCUGCAUGGUGGGGGUUGGAACGUUUCGGCGGUUGGGGAUGGACUCGCGGCUUAUCAGCUUGUUGGUGGGGUAGUGGCUGACCAAGGCUUUGACGGGUAGCCGGCCUGGGAGGGUGACCGGCGACAAUAGGACUAAGGUACGGCGCAGACGCCAACGGGAGGCAGCAGGGGGGAGUAUGGCACAGUGGGCGGAAGCCUGAGACGACAGCGCCGCGGUCGGGAUGACGGCCUGCGGGGUGAGAACCGCUUUCGCCUGAGACGAAGCGGGAGUGACGGUAAUGAGUAAAGAAGCACCGGCUAACUACGUG
RNAcentral lists this ribosomal RNA (468 nucleotides) under uncultured bacterium. Its description in RNAcentral is "partial 16S ribosomal RNA". It matches the Rfam family "Bacterial small subunit ribosomal RNA", at positions 28 to 507 of the family's 1533-position model. The record is from RNAcentral.